This 484-nucleotide long non-coding RNA is filed under the name Equus caballus (horse). RNAcentral's name for it is "lncRNA (ENSECAG00000054771.1)". Lineage: Eukaryota; Metazoa; Chordata; Mammalia; Perissodactyla; Equidae. The record is from RNAcentral.
CCCGGCUGUUUGCAACCACUGCCUAUCGUCUGUGUAGACCUGAACAAGGAGGGGGGAAAAAAGAAAUCCCUGCCAUGUUGUGCAGGCGUCCUCGGAAGAUUAGCCCUGAGCUAACAUCUAUGCCCAUCUUCCUCUAUUUCAUAUGUGGGACACCUGCCACAGCGUGGCUUGGGUGGAGGUCAGAAGUUUAAAAGUCAUUUUUACUGAGCUCAAGUCAAGUCGUCAGCCGGGCUGGUUCCUUCUAGAGGCUCCGAGGGGAGAACCUAUCUCCUUUCCUUUUUCCCCCUCUAGUGGCUACCUGUAUUCUUUGAAUUCCUCCAUCUUCAAAGUAUCACUCCAAUCUUUGCUCUGUCAUCACAUCGCCUUCUUCUCUGACUUCGGCUGCAUCUCUCUUCAAGGGCACUGUGAUUAUGUUGGACCCACAUGGAUAAUCCGGGAUAAUCUCCCCAUUUCAAUAUCCUUAACUUCAUCGCAUAUGGCAACU